UGGGCGAAAGCCUGAUCCAGCCAUGCCGCGUGUGUGAAGAAGGUCUUCGGAUUGUAAAGCACUUUAAGUUGGGAGGAAGGGCAGUAAGUUAACACCUUGCUGUUUUGACGUUACCAACAGAAUAAGCACCGGCUAACUUCGUG
This 143-nucleotide ribosomal RNA is filed under the name uncultured bacterium. RNAcentral's name for it is "partial 16S ribosomal RNA". It matches the Rfam family "Bacterial small subunit ribosomal RNA", at positions 372 to 507 of the family's 1533-position model. The record is from RNAcentral.